UAUCUUCAGGGCAGGGUGCAAAUCCCGACCGGUGGUGAAAGGUUUUCCUUAAGCCCACGAGCCGUAAGGCUGAUUUUGGUGUGAAUCCAAAGCCGACAGUACAGUCUGGAUGAGAGAAGA
This 120-nucleotide non-coding RNA is filed under the name uncultured Dialister sp. Its description in RNAcentral is "FMN riboswitch (RFN element)". It matches the Rfam family "FMN riboswitch aptamer (RFN element)". Rfam says of the family: The RFN element is a highly conserved domain that is found frequently in the 5'-untranslated regions of prokaryotic mRNAs that encode for flavin mononucleotide (FMN) biosynthesis and transport proteins. This element is a metabolite-dependent riboswitch that directly binds FMN in the absence of proteins. In Bacillus subtilis, the riboswitch most likely controls gene expression by causing premature transcription termination within the 5' untranslated region of the ribDEAHT operon and precluding access to the ribosome-binding site of ypaA mRNA. The record is from RNAcentral. Lineage: Bacteria; Bacillati; Bacillota; Negativicutes; Veillonellales; Veillonellaceae.